RNA transcript from Solanum pennellii, 1732 nucleotides. It is a transcript of the gene named F-box/FBD/LRR-repeat protein At1g13570-like, with no coding region annotated. The transcript is spliced from 3 exons. Lineage: Eukaryota; Viridiplantae; Streptophyta; Magnoliopsida; Solanales; Solanaceae. The record is from RefSeq and is a predicted model, not a curated record.
UUAAAUCUUUCUUCCAUUAUUUUUCCCUUUCCAAUAACAGAUCUGUAUAAUCCCCUGGAUUCAUGAAGUAUUUAUGGAAGUUAUUCUUGCUUUUAAAGACUGCGAUUCAUUGGUUUUACGAGGAGUUGGAUGAUUAUUGUCUGUGUGCUACGUGCGGAUAAUUUGGUGAUAACAUACCUUUGUGUUCUUGUUUAUUUUCUGCAGAUUCCCAUUGGCACUGUAUGAUGCCACCUGAGAGAAGAAAGAGUGGUCGUCACAGGUCAUCUAUUGAUCGACUAAGCAACCUUCCAAAGAAUGUUAUCAAUUCCAUCCUGAUGCGUUUGCCUUUGCAAGAUGCUGUAAUGACAAGCAUCUUAUCGAAGAAAUGGAGGUAUAAAUGGUGCAGCAUUCCACAGUUGACACUUGAUGAUAAACUUUGGGAGGAGACACGUGCCUUACUAUCCCCUUCUAUUAAGUUUACAAAAAUUCUGUACCAGAUUUUGACCCUUCAUUCAGGACCACUUACUAAGUUUACCCUCUCCAUUUCUUCACUGAGAAAGUAUCUUAAGAUUAAUAGUUUGAUAUAUUUCCUCUCUAGGAAUGACAUUCAGGAUCUUGUUCUUAAAUUUUCGGAGUGGAACCGAUACAGAUUGCCACCUUCAUUUUUCGUGUGUUCUCAGUUGAGGCAUUUGACUCUCCAAAAUUGUGUAAUAUGCCCUCCACCAGCCUUCAAAGGAUUUGAUAUGUUAAAUAGCCUGAAUCUGUGUGACGCGACUAUUUCUUCCAAACUACUAGAAAGUUUAAUCUCUUGUAGCCCCUUGCUAGAGAAGUUGGUGUUGAAAAUUUCAGAUACUGCAGACCACCUUCAAAUAAACGCUCCCAAUUUGAGAUCCUUUGACUUCACAGGCUGCAUAAAAUAUAUUUCUUUUAGGAGUGUUCCUCUUCUUUCUAAACUUUCUCUUCCGUGCCAAAAAUCUAUUGAGGAAUCAGAAAAAUGUGAUUUUGACAAAUUUUUUCAGUUACUUUCUGCUCUUGAGCAUCUCUACUUGGCAAAUGGAAGUGACCAGUUCUUGGUUACAGGUGCAGCUGAAAUCCCAAGAAGACUUUCCUCUCCUCUUAACUAUCUUAAACGUUUUAACAUAACUCUGCAUGGAUUAGCUGAUUUUUUCGUUGCUCUUUGCUUGAUACAAAGCUCCCCAUACAUACAAGAUAUUGAAAUGGAGGUAUAUUACUCGAGGUAUUAUAUGUCAGAAAAACUUGAGGCUUCUAAUGAAGUUGAUGAAGUUCUCGCAAGUUUUACAAAUGUGACAUUGAAUCACCUUAGGACAGUUCAGCUUGGACGAGUAGAAGGCAUAAAGGUCGAAUUGCAGCUUAUCAAGCUUCUAUUGACCAAAUCUCCUAUGCUGGUGAGAAUGCUAAUUGAUCCAUCGCUUGGUGAUAACUAUGAUGCAAGAAGAGACAAGAUAAUAGCAGCAACAACAAUUCAGCGGGCAUCAAGUAAAGCUAAUGUGGUUGUAUCUGAUGCAUAUGAAGAUUAUCGAGACAUGACUCCCUAGUAUCUGCUUGAUUUUUGCCAGAUCGAUAAGAAGAAUUGAAAUUCAAAAUUCUUGUUUGUAAUCAUUACAGUGCUAAGGGUUUAUAUUUCAUUCCUUUUUCUUGAACGAUCUAUGAAAUGAAACCUGGAUAUGAAUCUACACUAUGGUGCUUUAUUUUCAAAGAACUGUGAUUAAAUGUGAUAUCCUUUAGGCAUUUA